This 440-nucleotide ribosomal RNA is filed under the name uncultured bacterium. RNAcentral describes it as "partial 16S ribosomal RNA". It matches the Rfam family "Bacterial small subunit ribosomal RNA", at positions 338 to 795 of the family's 1533-position model. The record is from RNAcentral.
CCUACGGGAGGCUGCAGUGGGGAAUAUUGCACAAUGGGGGAAACCCUGAUGCAGCGACGCCGCGUGAGUGAAGAAGUAUUUCGGUACGUAAAGCUCUAUCAGCAGGGAAGAAAAUGACGGUACCUGACUAAGAAGCCCCGGCUAACUACGUGCCAGCAGCCGCGGUAAUACGUAGGGGGCAAGCGUUAUCCGGAUUUACUGGGUGUAAAGGGAGCGUAGACGGCAGCGCAAGUCUGGAGUGAAAUCCCAUGGCUUAACCAUGGAACUGCUUUGGAAACUGUGCAGCUAGAGUGCAGGAGAGGUAAGCGGAAUUCCUAGUGUAGCGGUGAAAUGCGUAGAUAUUGGGAGGAACACCAGUGGCGAAGGCGGCUUACUGGACUGUAACUGACGUUGAGGCUCGAAAGCGUGGGGAGCAAACAGGAUUAGAUACCCUGGUAGUC